This 1087-nucleotide long non-coding RNA is filed under the name Helianthus annuus (common sunflower). The record is from RNAcentral. Lineage: Eukaryota; Viridiplantae; Streptophyta; Magnoliopsida; Asterales; Asteraceae.
AUGACUUUGAACACAAGUGGCAGUCGCCUUCACCCUGAUACACCGCAAGCGUUGAUGGGUACUCAAAGAUUGUUGUCAAAUAAAAUUAAAAAAAAAACGACGUACAAAAAUGUUGUGUUCAAAGGCCACCUUACGGUGGUUGAUAGUUGAUAAAACAUAGAACCAAUGGCGGUGGUAAUGGCGGCCAGUGGUUGACAUAGAUACUAUGUAAACUUAACUAUCUAGAAAAAUCAAUAAAGGUUUACCGAAGCUAUUUCAUUUGCUAGCUAGUAGCACUUAUUGUCUUCAAAUCCACGGCUUCAGAACUCACACCAUGAAUCUCAGUCCUUAGAUCAUCCUUUGAUGCAUCAUAGGAAGCAUGCAAUCCAAUAAAAAAGUAGUACACAAGCAGCACACCGGUCCAACCCAAGAACCGCAAGAACGAAGCACCAUCGAUCGAGCCCAUAAUGAACACAUUAACAACAAUGCUAGCUGAUGGCAACCAUGGAACCAUUGGCACUCCCCACAGUUUCGGGCUUCUAGCUUGUUUCACCAACAGUUGAAGACCAAGUGUCGAUAAAAACCAAACGCCUACCAUAAUCGCAUACCCAACCCAAAGAUUCACAUUCAUCGCCCAAAGAACUGAGAGGCCAAUAGCCGAGGAAAUAAUCAAAAACAGCAGCACAAUCAGCUUGUUUCGGUCAGAAACCGAUGUUUCUCCUGUUGAGUAGUAUCGUCUCACUAGUAAAGCGAGAGCCACUAGUGAGAAAAUGAAGAGUGUGGAGAUUGAAAGAAGGUUGGCAAGUAGGUCGAGAUUUGUGAAGAAUGCGACUAGGCAGUUUGCUAAUGUCAUGAUGACGGUGGCAUUCACGGGUGUUCCGCGUUUCUCGUGGAUCACGGCUAGAAUCGGUGGAGCCAGGUGGGUCCGAGCAAUGUGAGUGAAAUACCGAGCUUGACCGAUGAUAGUAGCUAACAGAACCGUCGUCAUUCCCUGUAGCGCGCCUAAUGCGACUAUAUAUUUAGCCCAAUUCAUACCAGCGGCGUGGAACACUAUUGAGAACGGUGCAUCUCGGUCAAUCUGGUUGUAUGGCUGCAUCAGGCAUAAAAC